CAAGCCCCCGGUGCUCUGUAACAGCUGGGAGUACUCCAUGUAAUCUCUCAUCGCAUCAGCCUGAGACAGAAAGAACUGUGGCGGCAGCGUCGCCUGCUGCGGUGGCGCUUGAGGUGCUUGAGAUAACAAUGACUGUAACUGAGACGUCGGUUGAAGACCGAUAGGGAUUUGGGAAAUAGGAACAUUUUCCAUUGGAGGUGGCAAUAUUCUGACAUGUUCAGGGAAGUUUAGUUUAGCUCUACUUCCUCUAAAUCUUAACGCGGCUUCAUCGUAGGCUCUGGCGGCGGCCUCUGCAGUAUCGGAUGUGCCAAGCCAGACUCUUGCUGCUUUAUGUGGAUCACGUAUUUCAGCUGCCCAUUUACCCCACGGCCUUUGUCUAACUCCUCUGUAUCUUCUUCUCCGCUC
RNAcentral lists this unclassified non-coding RNA (405 nucleotides) under Hevea brasiliensis (rubber tree). The record is from RNAcentral. Lineage: Eukaryota; Viridiplantae; Streptophyta; Magnoliopsida; Malpighiales; Euphorbiaceae.